This 363-nucleotide long non-coding RNA is filed under the name Musa acuminata (dwarf banana). RNAcentral's name for it is "long non-coding RNA (MACU_LNC005018)". The record is from RNAcentral. Lineage: Eukaryota; Viridiplantae; Streptophyta; Magnoliopsida; Zingiberales; Musaceae.
CAGCACGUCCUUCAUGGACGGCCUCCGUGAAGGCAAAGACUCCGUGCAGCGAAGCCCCAAUUUGAACACCGUGGUUAUGUCGUCCAUCUGCGGCGAGUCUUUUAUGGCCGGGUCUACCGCGUCGCGCAGGUUUGCUCCCUCUUGGAUCUGCUUCCAGGCCCACUCUGCCAGGUUACAUUGCUCCCCCUCAUUGUUUGCCCGUCUUCCUGUGGUCAGCUCCAGAAGAACAACCCCGAAGCUGUACACAUCCACUUUCUCGUUCAGUCUCCUGGAAUACCCGCACUCUGCGUACGAAAACAACAUUAGCAGUCAUUCGAUGCUUUGAAUCAUGGAUGGAGACCGAGUUCGAGGGGGCCUUUGUUC